GGGCAUAGCUCAGUGGUAGAGUGCAUGCUCAGCAUGCAUGAGGUCCUGGGUUCGGUCUCCAGUAUCUCCA
RNAcentral lists this transfer RNA (70 nucleotides) under Camelus bactrianus (Bactrian camel). It matches the Rfam family "tRNA". Rfam says of the family: Transfer RNA (tRNA) molecules are approximately 80 nucleotides in length. Their secondary structure includes four short double-helical elements and three loops (D, anti-codon, and T loops). The record is from Rfam by way of RNAcentral. Lineage: Eukaryota; Metazoa; Chordata; Mammalia; Artiodactyla; Camelidae. RNAcentral also lists the same sequence under 2 other names.